RNAcentral lists this ribosomal RNA (253 nucleotides) under uncultured bacterium. RNAcentral describes it as "partial 16S ribosomal RNA". It matches the Rfam family "Bacterial small subunit ribosomal RNA", at positions 524 to 776 of the family's 1533-position model. The record is from RNAcentral.
UACGUAGGGUGCGAGCGUUGUCCGGAAUUAUUGGGCGUAAAGAGCUUGUAGGUGGUUUGUCGCGUCUGCCGUGAAAGUCCGGGGCUCAACUCCGGAUCUGCGGUGGGUACGGGCAGACUAGAGUGAUGUAGGGGAGACUGGAAUUCCUGGUGUAGCGGUGAAAUGCGCAGAUAUCAGGAGGAACACCGAUGGCGAAGGCAGGUCUCUGGGCAUUAACUGACGCUGAGGAGCGAAAGCAUGGGGAGCGAACAGG